GCCUUGCCAUGUAAACUGUAUUUUUAGUUCCCUGUGCCUCUCCCCGGCUGCUAUAAGACACCUCUCCCCACCCCCAGCCCUGGCCGCUUGGCUGGAGGCUCUGCGAGGACAGCUGGGGAGAAGGGGAGCUGUGAUGGAGGCUCGCUCUGUUGCCAGGCUGGAGUACAGCGAUCUCGGCUCACUGCAACCUCUGCCUCCCGGGUUCAAGUGAUUCUCCUGCCUCAGCCUCCCAAGUAGCUGGGACUACAGGUUCGUGCCACCAUGCCCAGCUAAUUUUUGUAUUUUUAGUAGAGACAGGGCUUGAACAUGUUAGCCAGGAUAGUCUCGAUCUCUUGACCUUGUGAUCCACCCACCUCAGCCUCC
RNAcentral lists this long non-coding RNA (363 nucleotides) under Homo sapiens (human). RNAcentral describes it as "HSALNT0405944". Lineage: Eukaryota; Metazoa; Chordata; Mammalia; Primates; Hominidae. The record is from RNAcentral.